This 492-nucleotide ribosomal RNA is filed under the name uncultured bacterium. Its description in RNAcentral is "partial 16S ribosomal RNA". It matches the Rfam family "Bacterial small subunit ribosomal RNA", at positions 29 to 507 of the family's 1533-position model. The record is from RNAcentral.
AGUGAACGCUGGCGGUAGGCCUAACACAUGCAAGUCGAACGGCAGCACAGUAAGAGCUUGCUCUUACGGGUGGCGAGUGGCGGACGGGUGAGGAAUACAUCGGAAUCUACUUUUUCGUGGGGGAUAACGUAGGGAAACUUACGCUAAUACCGCAUACGACCUACGGGUGAAAGCAGUGGAGCUUCGGACCUUGCGCGACUGAAUGAGCCGAUGUCGGAUUAGCUAGUUGGCGAGGUAAAGGCCCACCAAGGCGACGAUCCGUAGCUGGUCUGAGAGGAUGAUCAGCCACACUGGAACUGAGACACGGUCCAGACUCCUACGGGAGGCAGCAGUGGGGAAUAUUCGACAAUGGGCGCAAGCCUGACCCAGCCAUGCCGCGUGGGUGAAGAAGGCCUUCGGGUUGUAAAGCCCUUUUGUUGGGAAAGAAAAGCAGCAGGUUAAUCCCCCGCUGUUCUGACGGUACCCAAAGAAUAAGCCCCGGCUAACUUCGUG